UACGUAGGUGGCAAGCGUUGUCCGGAAUUACUGGGUGUAAAGGGAGCGCAGGCGGGAAGCCAAGUCAGCUGUGAAAACUACGGGCUUAACUUGUAGACUGCAGUUGAAACUGGUUUUCUUGAGUGAAGUAGAGGUUGGCGGAAUUCCGAGUGUAGCGGUGAAAUGCGUAGAUAUUCGGAGAAACACCGGUGGCGAAGGCGGCCAACUGGGCUUUAACUGACGCUGAGGCUCGAAAGUGUGGGGAGCAAACAGG
RNAcentral lists this ribosomal RNA (253 nucleotides) under uncultured bacterium. Its description in RNAcentral is "partial 16S ribosomal RNA". It matches the Rfam family "Bacterial small subunit ribosomal RNA", at positions 524 to 776 of the family's 1533-position model. The record is from RNAcentral.